This 858-nucleotide ribosomal RNA is filed under the name uncultured bacterium. RNAcentral describes it as "bacterial SSU rRNA". It matches the Rfam family "Bacterial small subunit ribosomal RNA", at positions 8 to 822 of the family's 1533-position model. The record is from RNAcentral.
AGAGUUUGAUCAUGGCUCAGGAUGAACGCUGGCGGCGUGCUUGACCCAUGUAAGUCGAACGGAUCGGUUUCCCUUGAAGGUUCUGGAGGGGGCGGCGCAUGAGAAAUCGUGCAAGGUCUCGGAAGGGGCUGGGGAGGGAGUUGCCGGUCAGUGGCGGACGGGUGAGUAACACGUAGGUAAUCUGCCCUGAAGUGGGGAAUAACUGUUCGAAAGAGCAGCUAAUACCGCAUGUGGUCCGGCCGAAGGGUCGGAAGAAAGGGAGCAAUCCCGCUUUAGGAUGAGCCUGCGGCCGAUUAGCUAGUUGGUGGGGUAAUGGCCCACCAAGGCGAUGAUCGGUAGCUGGUCUGAGAGGACGAUCAGCCACACUGGAACUGCGACACGGUCCAGACUCCUACGGGAGGCAGCAGGGGGGAAUAUUGGACAAUGGGGGCAACCCUGAUCCAGCAACGCCGCGUGAGCGAAGAAGGCCUUCGGGUCGUAAAGCUCUUUUCUGAGGGAAGAGGCAGGACGGUACCUCAGGAAUAAGUCUCGGCUAACUACGUGCCAGCAGCCGCGGUAAAACGUAGGAGGCGAGCGUUAUCCGGAUUUACUGGGCGUAAAGGGCAAGUAGGCGGUGGCCAAAGUUGGGCGUGACAUCUCCCGGCUCAACUGGGAGGGGUCGUUCAAAACUAGGUCACUUGAGGGCAGGAGAGGGAAGCGGAAUUCCUAGUGUAGCGGUGGAAUGCUCAGAUAUUAGGAAGAACACCAGUGGCGAAGGCGGCUUCCUGGCCUGCACCUGACGCUGAGAGGCGAAAGCUAGGGGAGCGAACGGGCUUAGAUACCCCGGUAGUCCUAGCUGUAAACUUUGGAUACUGGGUA